AGUUAACGUAUGCAAAAUCCGGUAUUGCAAAAGACCUAAACCCUUUAGAUAGAGGUUCAAAUCCUCUCAUUAACU
This 75-nucleotide transfer RNA is filed under the name Scinax flavoguttatus (yellowbelly snouted treefrog). RNAcentral's name for it is "tRNA-Leu". It matches the Rfam family "tRNA". From Rfam's summary of the family: Transfer RNA (tRNA) molecules are approximately 80 nucleotides in length. Their secondary structure includes four short double-helical elements and three loops (D, anti-codon, and T loops). Lineage: Eukaryota; Metazoa; Chordata; Amphibia; Anura; Hylidae. The record is from RNAcentral.